Bos taurus (domestic cattle) is the source of this 1405-nucleotide long non-coding RNA. NCBI's taxonomy places the organism in Eukaryota, Metazoa, Chordata, Mammalia, Artiodactyla, Bovidae. The record is from Ensembl.
UUGAGAGGGGGACACCUGUGCCACCGAAGAACAGCAGGGGAGGGCAGUGCAGGGGGAGCUGACGGCAAGGCACCUGAGGCAGAGGGAGGCAGCCCGUGUGUCUGUGUGUGAGGGUGUGUGACAGUGUGUGUGUGUGAGAGUGUAUAUGUGUGAGAGUGAGUAUAUGUGUGUGAGGCUGAGAGUGUGUGAGUGUAUGUGUGUGACUGUGUGUGACAGUGUGAGGGUGAGAAUGUGAGUUAUGUGUGAGAGUGUGAGUAUGAGAGUGUGUGACUGUGUAUAUGACAGUGUGUAUGAGACUGUGAGUGUAUGUGUUGUGUGAGAGUGUGAGUUGUGUGAGUGUGUAUGUGUGAGAGUGUGUGUUUGAGUUGUGUAUGUGAGUGUGAGUUGUGUGAGUGUGACAGUAUGUGUGACUGUGUGAGAGUGUGUCUGUGUGAGUGUGUAUUAUGUGUGAGCGUGUGUGUGAGCACAGAUGCAUCUACACACAGACACAACCAGAGCCCACAGUGGCAUCAGAGACAGCGUUCUGACCACACAGCAGUGACAGCGUCAGAGGUCAGCAGCAGGUGCAGGAUGUUGUCCCUGGGCCUCACCUGUCACCUGUGAGCUCCUGGGACUUGGUGGUGCUGAGGAAGGAGCCUGGGCAAGAGAGCGUGCCCCCUGUGUCUUGACUCACCAUAGUAUCCCCGUGUGAUCAUAGCAUCCUUGUGUCACUGUGCCCCGUGUCACCAUAGUGUCCCCGUGUCACUACAAGCUGUGCUGUUUUCCCUUGAGUCCAAGGACACGACACUCUAGCCCCUUCAGUGACCCCCCCCUAGACACUCUGUCCCUCGAGGCCCUGUGAGGGAGUCUGCCUGCUGAGGGCGCCAGGGAGCCCUGCCUCACUGCCAUCGGAGCACCUUCGGUCUGGAUCUUUGACACGUGGCCAGAGCACCAGGUCUUCACUGGAGGCCGUCUGGACGUCUGGACGACUGAGUCUGGGGCUGAGCCGGGUGCCCUCCAGACCGGGCCGGCACCGCCUGAGGUUCCGCGAGCUGCAGGAGCCUAGUCUCGGAUCACAACCUCGGGGGCCUGAGUCCCAGAAUAUCCUGACUCUGACUUUCUGUGACUGCUCGCCCGGCAGCACCUGAGGGACGUGACCGCCGGCCUUCCUCCCCCGCAGCAGCAGGUCCGGGCAGGGCGCACGGUCGGAGCGGCUGCCCCGGGGCAAGGGGGGCUGUGGGUGCCAAGAAUGCAGGGGUGGGGCCGCUCUGAGUGUCCGGCAAGGCCUCUGCAGAGAGGAUUCCCCAGGAACCCCCUCUGCCCACACCCCCUCCCGGAGCUGCCCGUGGGCGUCACCCGAGCCGCCAGGUCCAUGACCCUCCCCUGCAGCCCCCGGGCCCCGCCCCACUGCACCUCGGGACCUGCA